Armillaria fumosa is the source of this 94-nucleotide non-coding RNA. Lineage: Eukaryota; Fungi; Basidiomycota; Agaricomycetes; Agaricales; Physalacriaceae. The record is from the annotation of a GenBank genome assembly.
GGUGACGUGGCCGAGUGGUCCAAGGCGCUGGAAUUAGGUUCAUGCUUACGCAAUCCAGUCCUCCGGGGCGUGAGUUCGAACCUCACCGUUAUCA